This 246-nucleotide unclassified non-coding RNA is filed under the name Hevea brasiliensis (rubber tree). The record is from RNAcentral. Lineage: Eukaryota; Viridiplantae; Streptophyta; Magnoliopsida; Malpighiales; Euphorbiaceae.
CUCCACACAAGCGGCACUAUAAAAAUGCCGUCUAGUUCCCUUUUCGUGGAUCUGAGCUGCUUGUCUCUUGCUCGUGCAAGCUAAAACCCAGUGCUGGGGAUAUUUGUUGAAGACAACUUAAAAAGAACCAAGUCCUUUCAAGAUGAGCCGGCCAAUGGAGGAAGAGGGUAGCAAGAAUGAGGAGGAGGAGUUCAAUACAGGACCUCUUUCAGUACUCAUGAUGAGUGUCAAAAAUAACACACAGGU